CCUACGGGUGGCUUCAGUGAGGAAUAUUGGUCAAUGGACGAGAGUCUGAACCAGCCAAGUAGCGUGAAGGAUGACUGCCCUAUGGGUUGUAAACUUCUUUUAUAUGGGAAUAAAACAUGGUAUGCAUCCCCUCUUGUAUGUACCAUAUGAAUAAGGAUCGGCUAACUCCGUGCCAGCAGCCGCGGUAAUACGGAGGAUCCGAGCGUUAUCCGGAUUUAUUGGGUUUAAAGGGAGCGUAGGUGGAUUGUUAAGUCAGUUGUGAAAGUUUGUGGCUCAACCGUAAAAUUGCAGUUGAAACUGGCAGGCUUGAGUACAUUUGAGGCAAGCGGAAUUCGUGGUGUAGCGGUGAAAUGCUUAGAUAUCACGAAGAACCCCGAUUGCGAAGGCAGCUUACUAAGCUGUGACUGACAUUGAUGCUCGAAAGUGUGGGUAUCAAACAGGAUUAGAUACCCUUGUAGUC
RNAcentral lists this ribosomal RNA (460 nucleotides) under uncultured bacterium. RNAcentral's name for it is "partial 16S ribosomal RNA". It matches the Rfam family "Bacterial small subunit ribosomal RNA", at positions 338 to 795 of the family's 1533-position model. The record is from RNAcentral.